AUCUCAGGCCGUAUCAGCCUGAAGGCGCCCGAUCUCGUCUGAUCUCGGAAGCUAAGCAGGGUCGGGCCUGGUUAGGAUCUUGGAUG
RNAcentral lists this ribosomal RNA (86 nucleotides) under Bison bison bison. The record is from RNAcentral. Lineage: Eukaryota; Metazoa; Chordata; Mammalia; Artiodactyla; Bovidae.